Molecule: ribosomal RNA, 523 nt
Filed under: uncultured bacterium
Lineage: Bacteria
Description: bacterial SSU rRNA
Rfam family: Bacterial small subunit ribosomal RNA
Source: RNAcentral
GUUUGAUCCUGGCUCAGAGUGAACGCUGGCGGCAGGCCUAACACAUGCAAGUCGAGCGGCAGCACGGGUAGCAAUACACCUUGAUGGCGAGUGGCGGACGGGUGAGGAAUGCAUCGGAAUCUGCCCAGUCGUGGGGGAUAACGUAGGGAAACUUACGCUAAUACCGCAUACGACCGUAAGGUGAAAGCGGGGGAUCGUAAGACCUCGCGCGAUUGGAUGAGCCGAUGCCGGAUUAGCUUGUUGGUGGGGUAAAAGCCCACCAAGGCGACGAUCCGUAGCUGGUCUGAGAGGAUGAUCAGCCACACUGGGACUGAGACACGGCCCAGACUCCUACGGGAGGCAGCAGUGGGGAAUCUUGCGCUAAUGCGGGAAACCGUGACGCAGCGACGCCGCGUGGGGGAAGAGGGCCUUCGGGUUGUAAACCUCUUUCAGGAGGGACGAAGCUACUCGGGUUAAUAGCCCAGAGGGUGACGGUACCUCCAGAAGAAGCCCCGGCUAACUACGUGCCAGCAGCCGCGGUUAG